RNAcentral lists this long non-coding RNA (248 nucleotides) under Volvox carteri. RNAcentral's name for it is "long non-coding RNA (VCAR_LNC000795)". Lineage: Eukaryota; Viridiplantae; Chlorophyta; Chlorophyceae; Chlamydomonadales; Volvocaceae. The record is from RNAcentral.
UUGCAGAGUGCAUCGGCACGAUUACAUCACUCUGCAGAGUAAAUUAUGAGACGUGUAAAUUAUGACGUGCCCAUAAGUGAUCAUAGGCCUUGAUGAAUAUCACGAGAUUGAGCUCGAAACACUAAGCCAUGUAAUGUAAUUUUCGUGGUAUGCGUGUACCUCGCUCCCGCUGCGUGAGCCGAAUCCCCUUUGCUGCCCGUUUGUCAGCUAGCAUCAGACCUAUCUUCUGUAACCACAGCAUCUCCUAU